GCAAUUAUACGGCGAAACUGCGAAUGGCUCAUUAUAUAAGUUAUCGUUUAUUUGAUAGCACCUUACUACUUGGAUAACCGUGGUAAUUCUAGAGCUAAUACAUGCUGAAAAUCCCGACUUCGGAAGGGAUGUAUUUAUUAGAUUAAAAACCAAUGCCCUCUGGGCUCUCUGGUGAUUCAUGAUAACUGCGCGAAUCGCAUGGCCUUGCGCCGGCGAUGGUUCAUUCAAAUUUCUUCCCUAUCAACUUUCGAUGUUUGGGUAGUGGCCAAACAUGGUUGCAACGGGUAACGGAGGGUUAGGGCUCGGCCCCGGAGAAGGAGCCUGAGAAACGGCUACUACAUCCAAGGAAGGCAGCAGGCGCGCAAAUUACCCAAUCCCGACACGGGGAGGUAGUGACAAUAAAUACUGAUACAGGGCUCUUUUGGGUCUUGUAAUUGGAAUGAGUACAAUUUAAAUCCCUUAACGAGGAACAAUUGGAGGGCAAGUCUGGUG
Molecule: ribosomal RNA, 492 nt
Filed under: Ophiocordyceps longissima
Lineage: Eukaryota; Fungi; Ascomycota; Sordariomycetes; Hypocreales; Ophiocordycipitaceae
Description: SSU rRNA
Rfam family: Eukaryotic small subunit ribosomal RNA
Source: RNAcentral